Molecule: unclassified non-coding RNA, 336 nt
Filed under: soil metagenome
Description: partial contains 5.8S ribosomal RNA, internal transcribed spacer 2, and large subunit ribosomal RNA
Rfam family: 5.8S ribosomal RNA (bases 1-120)
Source: RNAcentral
GAUGAAGAACGCAGCAAAAUGCGAUAAGUAGUGUGAAUUGCAGAAUUCAGUGAAUCAUCGAAUCUUUGAACGCACAUUGCGCCCGCUAGUAUUCUGGCGGGCAUGCCUGUCCGAGCGUCAUUUCAACCCAUCAAGCUUAGCGCUUGUGUUGGAGCCCUGCGGCCGCCGCAGCCUCCUAAAAUCAGUGGCGGGCUCGCUAUCACGCUGAGUGCAGUAGUAUUCUUCUCACUCCUGUGGUGUAGCGGGUAACCAGCCGUAAACCCCCCCAUCUAUAAAGGUUGACCUCGGAUCAGGUAGGAAUACCCGCUGAACUUAAGCAUAUCAAUAAGCGGAGGA